This 253-nucleotide ribosomal RNA is filed under the name uncultured bacterium. Its description in RNAcentral is "partial 16S ribosomal RNA". It matches the Rfam family "Bacterial small subunit ribosomal RNA", at positions 524 to 776 of the family's 1533-position model. The record is from RNAcentral.
UACAGAGGGUGCAAGCGUUAAUCGGAAUUACUGGGCGUAAAGCGUGCGCAGGCGGUUUGCUAAGACAGGUGUGAAAUCCCCGGGCUUAACCUGGGAACUGCGCUUGUAACUGGCAAGCUAGAGUGUGGCAGAGGGGGGUGGAAUUCCACGUGUAGCAGUGAAAUGCGUAGAGAUGUGGAGGAACACCGAUGGCGAAGGCAGCCCCCUGGGCUAACACUGACGCUCAUGCACGAAAGCGUGGGGAGCAAACAGG